Molecule: transfer RNA, 74 nt
Filed under: Acidimicrobiales bacterium
Lineage: Bacteria; Bacillati; Actinomycetota; Acidimicrobiia; Acidimicrobiales
Also listed under: 1 other name
Description: tRNA-Pro
Rfam family: tRNA
About the family: Transfer RNA (tRNA) molecules are approximately 80 nucleotides in length. Their secondary structure includes four short double-helical elements and three loops (D, anti-codon, and T loops).
Source: RNAcentral
CUGGCCGUGGCGCAGCUUGGUAGCGCACCUGCUUUGGGAGCAGGGGGUCGGGAGUUCGAAUCUCCCCGGCCAGA